Marasmius sp. AFHP31 is the source of this 99-nucleotide non-coding RNA. Lineage: Eukaryota; Fungi; Basidiomycota; Agaricomycetes; Agaricales; Marasmiaceae. The record is from the annotation of a GenBank genome assembly.
GCUCGCGUAGCUCAGUGGUAGAGCAUUGUACUUAUGGGUUGCCUUAAUCAUACCAAGCAGAGAAUGCAAGGGUCUCCGGUUCAAUCCCGGGCGUGAGCA